GAUGAUGAUGAAGAUGAAGAAGUUUUGCGAUUAAUGGCCGACCCUACGAGCUUGACAACAGCUUGACGACCCAUCGUAUUGCUUCGAUUUGCUUCUCUUUUCGGCGCAGCCGCCUUCUUCAGAGUAUCACGAGCUCGGAAUUAUAUUUCCUCCUUCUCGCUCGCCUCCUCUCCCGCUCUCUCUUUCCUUUCCCUUUUACUUUUUUUCCUUUUCUUUUUCCAAUGAGCAAAGUAUAUGCAUUUGAAUACGAACUUGAUAUUGAUCAGAUGGAAAAAGCAUCAAUCAGUAAAAAUUAAAAACUAAAAAUCACUAUUGCCAAGAG
This 322-nucleotide unclassified non-coding RNA is filed under the name Hevea brasiliensis (rubber tree). The record is from RNAcentral. Lineage: Eukaryota; Viridiplantae; Streptophyta; Magnoliopsida; Malpighiales; Euphorbiaceae.